GCCUUUGUGGUGUAGUGGUCAGCACGCUCGAAUGCGCAACUGAGAGGUCCGUGGUUCGAUUCCCGAUAAAGGCU
RNAcentral lists this transfer RNA (74 nucleotides) under Stegodyphus mimosarum. It matches the Rfam family "tRNA". Rfam says of the family: Transfer RNA (tRNA) molecules are approximately 80 nucleotides in length. Their secondary structure includes four short double-helical elements and three loops (D, anti-codon, and T loops). Lineage: Eukaryota; Metazoa; Arthropoda; Arachnida; Araneae; Eresidae. The record is from Rfam by way of RNAcentral.